Molecule: ribosomal RNA, 943 nt
Filed under: Bacillus sonorensis
Lineage: Bacteria; Bacillati; Bacillota; Bacilli; Caryophanales; Bacillaceae
Description: bacterial SSU rRNA
Rfam family: Bacterial small subunit ribosomal RNA
Source: RNAcentral
CUAAUACAUGCAAGUCGAGCGGACCGACGGGAGCUUGCUCCCUUAGGUCAGCGGCGGACGGGUGAGUAACACGUGGGUAACCUGCCUGUAAGACUGGGAUAACUCCGGGAAACCGGGGCUAAUACCGGAUGCUUGAUUGAACCGCAUGGUUCAAUCAUAAAAGGUGGCUUUUAGCUACCACUUACAGAUGGACCCGCGGCGCAUUAGCUAGUUGGUGAGGUAACGGCUCACCAAGGCGACGAUGCGUAGCCGACCUGAGAGGGUGAUCGGCCACACUGGGACUGAGACACGGCCCAGACUCCUACGGGAGGCAGCAGUAGGGAAUCUUCCGCAAUGGACGAAAGUCUGACGGAGCAACGCCGCGUGAGUGAUGAAGGUUUUCGGAUCGUAAAACUCUGUUGUUAGGGAAGAACAAGUACCGUUCGAAUAGGGCGGUACCUUGACGGUACCUAACCAGAAAGCCACGGCUAACUACGUGCCAGCAGCCGCGGUAAUACGUAGGUGGCAAGCGUUGUCCGGAAUUAUUGGGCGUAAAGCGCGCGCAGGCGGUUUCUUAAGUCUGAUGUGAAAGCCCCCGGCUCAACCGGGGAGGGUCAUUGGAAACUGGGGAACUUGAGUGCAGAAGAGGAGAGUGGAAUUCCACGUGUAGCGGUGAAAUGCGUAGAGAUGUGGAGGAACACCAGUGGCGAAGGCGACUCUCUGGUCUGUAACUGACGCUGAGGCGCGAAAGCGUGGGGAGCGAACAGGAUUAGAUACCCUGGUAGUCCACGCCGUAAACGAUGAGUGCUAAGUGUUAGAGGGUUUCCGCCCUUUAGUGCUGCAGCAAACGCAUUAAGCACUCCGCCUGGGGAGUACGGUCGCAAGACUGAAACUCAAGGAAUUGACGGGGGCCCGCACAAGCGGUGGAGCAUGUGGUUUAAUUCGAAGCAACGCGAAGAACCUU